Molecule: ribosomal RNA, 465 nt
Filed under: uncultured bacterium
Lineage: Bacteria
Description: bacterial SSU rRNA
Rfam family: Bacterial small subunit ribosomal RNA
Source: RNAcentral
CCUACGGGUUGCAGCAGUGGGGAAUAUUGCACAAUGGGCGCAAGCCUGAUGCAGCCAUGCCGCGUGUAUGAAGAAGGCCUUCGGGUUGUAAAGUACUUCCAGCGAGGAGGAAGGCGAUAAGGUUAAUAACCUUGUCGAUUGACGUUACUCGCAGAAGAAGCACCGGCUAACUCUGUGCCAGCAGCCGCGGUAAUACGGAGGGUGCAAGCGUAAAUCGGAAUUACUGGGCGUAAAGCGCACGCAGGCGGUCUGUCAAGUCGGAUGUGAAAUCCCCGGGCUCAACCUGGGAACUGCAUUCGAGACUGGCAGGCUAGAGUCUUGUAGAGGGGGGUAGAGUUCCAGGUGUAGCGGUGAAAUGCGUAGAGAUCUGGAGGAAUACCGGUGGCGAAGGCGGCCCCCUGGACAAAGACUGACGCUCAGGUGCGAAGGCGUGGGGAGCAAACAGGAUUAGAUACCCCUGUAGUC